UUAAAUGUUUGAUUUUGAGGUUUAGCAUCUAAUUCACUUUAUUAUUAGUGCAAUGAUAGAAGCUUAUUAUAAUUGUAGGCAAAAAUUUUUUGAUAUUUGUCCAUGUGUUUCUUGCAGACUGUAUUUUUCAUUUUUAUGUUGUGAUUCCUCUAACUCCCUUCAUGUCCAACUUCCUUCUAUAUGAGUAAUCAUUUCAGAGACAUAGAGAGG
RNAcentral lists this unclassified non-coding RNA (210 nucleotides) under Hevea brasiliensis (rubber tree). Lineage: Eukaryota; Viridiplantae; Streptophyta; Magnoliopsida; Malpighiales; Euphorbiaceae. The record is from RNAcentral.